RNAcentral lists this ribosomal RNA (483 nucleotides) under uncultured bacterium. RNAcentral's name for it is "partial 16S ribosomal RNA". It matches the Rfam family "Bacterial small subunit ribosomal RNA", at positions 28 to 507 of the family's 1533-position model. The record is from RNAcentral.
GAUGAACGCUGGCGGCGUGCCUAACACAUGCAAGUCGAACGGAGUCGUUUUGGAAAUCUCUUCGGAGAUGGAAUUCUCGACUUAGUGGCGGACGGGUGAGUAACGCGUGAGCAAUCUGCCUUUAAGAGGGGGAUAACAGUCGGAAACGGCUGCUAAUACCGCAUAAAGCAUUAAAUUCGCAUGUUUUUGAUGCCAAAGGAGCAAUCCGCUUUUAGAUGAGCUCGCGUCUGAUUAGCUAGUUGGCGGGGUAACGGCCCACCAAGGCGACGAUCAGUAGCCGGACUGAGAGGUGGAACGGCCACAUUGGGACUGAGACACGGCCCAGACUCCUACGGGAGGCAGCAGUGGGGAAUAUUGCGCAAUGGGGGAAACCCUGACGCUGCAACGCCGCGUGAUUGAAGAAGGCCUUCGGGUUGUAAAGAUCUUUAAUCAGGGACGAAGCAAAUGACGGUACCUGAAGAAUAAGCUCCGGCUAACUACGUG